CCCUCCCUCACCUGGUCAACAUGUGUUUCCGGUUUAGACCUCUGUUGCUGUGCAGCGCCAGUAGCACACUCAGGUGUGCACGUUGAUCGCUCCUUCUUCUGGUGGCCUGUGUAAAUUGCCUGAUCCUCCUCCCAGCCAGAGGCACUACACAUAGAGCUUGUGACGCUGCUGUUUGUCCUUGGCCGGCUGUUUGCCUGUUGCCCUGUGGUUCCUGGUUGAUGUCAGCUGUUAUUUUGGUUGUCCGUCGGCAGUCCAUUUGUCGCUCUGGUUGCUGGCUCUCUGCCAGCCGUCGUGGUCAGCGUGAACCUGAC
This is a long non-coding RNA of Poeciliopsis prolifica (blackstripe livebearer), 311 nucleotides long. RefSeq lists it as uncharacterized. The record is from RefSeq and is a predicted model, not a curated record. Lineage: Eukaryota; Metazoa; Chordata; Actinopteri; Cyprinodontiformes; Poeciliidae. The transcript has 3 exons.